UAUUCACUAACCAGUUAUUAGUGUAAGAACGAAGGGUGGACGUUGGAAAGGUGCAUGUGUAUAGGAUUGUUAAAACUAUAAUUGGUGGUGUGCGGAAGUGUGAGACUACGAAGGAACUUCAAUUUAAUGUAUCUCUUCUAUCGGCCAAGCAUGUGGAGAACUGAAUAGUAGUCAACCUACAAGUGGAGGACAUUCAUCACAUGGCCGGCAUAGGAUAGAAAAACGUUUUUGGAUUCAAUCGAUGAUUGCAGAGUCGGAGACUGUAAUGGGAUCGCAAAAAAUAGAACCAUACUCAAGCCGAAGUCGCACUAAAGAACAGUUAAGAGCCUUCAAUGGACAGGUAAAUUUAAAUUCGGACGAUAUACGUUUUACGAACUCUAGAGUUUUAUAUAUUUUAUCUUAUAUACUAUAUAUUUUCUUCCAUAAUAUCUGUUUAAUAUUGUACCUAUUUUCCCAUUCUCCCGGUUUUCCUGCCCUUUUCCAAUUUUCCCCAUAUUUUGGAAAAAUCAAAAAAGUGACUUUUUAAAGUACCACCUCAGUAAAAUUUCUUAUCAGAAUAAGUGCUUCACUUAAAAAUCGAAGCAAGAUUUCCGGUAGAAAAGUUUGUAGAACAAAUCAAGGAGUAUUUUUCGAUUAGCCCGGGCGAUAGCUGGUUCUCUAGGUACACCUAAAAUGAAUUUGUUUUUUCCUGUUUAGAUAAAAGAGAACAAAUAAAAGCAAAAAAUUAUUUUCGAAACCCGGGUUUGAACGUGCGAUCCCUAAGAUGACAAUAGGUUUUUUUCUCACUUUUUUCUUUUUAUUGGGAAAACUUCCAGAGAAAUCAAAAAAUAAUCUCCUUAAAGUACCACCCAAUGAAAAUGUCCUUUAAGAAAAGGGUCUACAUUGCAUACAUCGAAGCAAGAUUUUCGAUAGAAUUUUUGUAAACAGUAUACAAAAAAAAAAUAAAAACAAAUAAUUGUCAUCUUUGUAAAACCAAUACAUUCAUUACUACACUUAGAAUCUAAAACAAUCAUUGUUUUCUUCACAAAACUGUUAAUCGUAUAGCAAGAACUUUAUUUAUUUGUACAUACCAAUCAGGUGCUUAUAUAUACGUGAAAAUACGAAUCUAUUCUCGAAAUACGGUAAGAAUGGUGGCGAUCAGUCGAUCGGAUCUGUAAUGUCUUUGAACAAUUUUUACGAGACAUUUCCACGUUUCCAACGAGUUUGUCAUUUACACAAAUAUUGAUUUAUUUUUUAUUUCUGAAACCGAUUUGGAAGGUCUUUUUGUCAUUAUUGUGUUUUUUUUGCGUGAACGAGCGUUUUUUUUUUCUUGGGGGGAGGGGGUAUAAUGUUGCCCGUUAUUACUUGAAAGGCAAGAGGUGAAAAACGCAACUGUGCCGGCCUCUGAUGAUAAUAACAUAAGGAACGGCGCAAAAACAUAAUAAACGGAGAACGAAAUAACAUUAUUAUGGGGUCGUUUUGUAGAAAAAAAAAAAACGCAUAAAAUUCGAAUUUGUUUCAAGCGAUAGUACCCAUAUUAUAUGCCUCUCGGGGGACUGAUGCCGCCACGAAACCAUGGGUUUUCGACUUACGCCGGGCGAAAUGUACCCGCUGAACAAAAUCUCGCUAUACACUACUCGUAUACAUGCAUUUAUGUUCUUUUACCGAAAUGGUUAUUUUUACGUUUCUGCCUCUUUCUGUGUAUGUAUAUAUAUAAACGACUACAUACACCACAUGUGAUUUUGCGAGAAACUGUUUUUUUUUUCCGGGGAUAAAAACUUAACCAAAAAAUAAAUUAAGAAUAUAGUAUUAGAUAUAGGUGCCAGUUAUAUAGGAUACAGGGUGUAUCUGCAGUAUUCCCUACGAUAUUUAAUUCCGUAGUACAAGACGGUGUAGAAAAAUGGUGCACGGAGCAUAUGGAAAAUGGUAAUCGACGGAAGGAUGAAUGGACCGAAAGGAUACCCAUAAAUCAGCCUGAUAUUUUUACAAUCGCGGAGUUUCCAUUUUCCGACGAAAGAACGAAAUUCCCAAAACCGUUUCAUGUCUGAACGGAAUCUUACUCGGGACGCACGGCACGGGUGUGAAAAAUAUGAGUCGCAUAAGUGAAGACGACUUCGUUUAUUCAUACGACGAUAAGAACUUCCUGGACUUUAUGUGUUAGACAUGGGCGCUACUGAGUGGUUAAAUGACUUAGCAAUUGACAUUUUACAGUGCCAAAAACGGACCGCAGAGGAACGCUCUUCCCCGUAAUAUAAUACUAUUUUAACUUAUUAUUUAUUUGCGUAAUGGUCUAUCUGUAUACUCAUUUAUUUACCAAUAAUUGCAUUUGAAUUGUUUUAACAGUGUUACAUAGAUUUUAGAGAUAUCUUGACUAUCGUUUGGCCGUGUGAAAAAUAUAUUGUCAAAUCCUACAGAUGCAUCCUGUAAACUAUAACUAUAACUAAACUAUACCUGUAUACAAGUUUAUAUUGAUGAUGUACCUAACACAUUACAUUGUGGGUACCUAUUCUCGAUGAUAUCCGAAAGCUGCAGCGGAGUGGAGAGGACAGUUUUACACCAUUAAUUUAAUACUAACUUGACAGUAAAGGAACACGACGUCAUAGAAAUUUAUCAAUAAAAUUUACAAGCCGUCACACCGUGAUGUUUAUUAUUAUCACACUUAUCGGGGUUCGAUAUGAGACUCAAGCGCAUAAAAUCGUGAAAAAAAACACCACUUAAACACUCGAUUAUAUAAGCGCUUUAAAACCGUUAAACUAAGUGAAGAAUAAAUAAAAAAAAAAUCUCAAAAAUGGUAACCCCUUGUCUGUAUAAUUAUCCAAAAAAAAUAAUAGUGACAAGUGUAGUGAAAAAUAAUACAAAAGCUAGUUUGUUUUUUAUUUAUUAAUUUUGUUUAUCUUGUCCUGCCCAAGUCGAGAAAAAAGUCAUUUGAUGAUAAGAACGAAUCGGAAUAUUCGUUUUUAACUAUAAUAUGACUGUAAUAAUUUAACUAUAAUAUAACACACAUCUUAUUUCAUGAAAAAUAUAAAUUUGUAAUUUUUCAAGUAGUACUCAAUGAAAUGCAAUUAUUUUUAAACUAGCAUAAAACAUAUUAUGGUAACAUGCAAUUAUUAUUAUUUCUGACAAAAUGUCGACAGCUUUUAUUGGGUAGGUAUUUAUAAUAAUAUUCUUUCGAAAAUUGCAUAAAAAAAAAAACUUUUAAUUAUUUAUUUAUGUUUCGUUAUUAAAUUUAAAUUAUUUCUCUAUAUAAAUAUAAUAAUAUAAUAAACCUCAGUUAUUAGCUACCUACCUAUUUAAUGUAUCUACUGUAUAAUAUCAUAAACGGAAACUUUGUUCACAAUACAAAACUAAUUAUAAAGCUUUGAAAAAGAAAAACUUUAAAAUAAGUAUAAAAAAAAGUGAGAUACAAAGAAACCGGGUAUUGAAAACUCGUUUCGAUUCUCGUUUACCUCAACUGCAACACUGUACAAUAUAGUACAAAGUAUAGAAUUUUGUUCAUUGUAAAUUCGAAAGAUUAUAAAGUUUUAUGUUUAAUUUCACCGUUCGUGUAUUUUUUUUUUCAGUAUACAUUUCGAGGUAAAUCAAAUUGAAAGACUGUGUACAAUAACCAUCGUACAACUGCAGUUUUUAAAAUUGUGC
Non-coding RNA from Cinara cedri, 3615 nucleotides. Lineage: Eukaryota; Metazoa; Arthropoda; Insecta; Hemiptera; Aphididae. The record is from the annotation of a GenBank genome assembly.